UGGGGAAUUUUGGACAAUGGGCGCAAGCCUGAUCCAGCAAUGCCGCGUGCAGGAUGAAGGCCUUCGGGUUGUAAACUGCUUUUGUACGGAGCGAAAAGGUCUGCCCUAAUACGGUGGGCUCAUGACGGUACCGUAAGAAUAAGCACCGGCUAACUACGUGCCAGCAGCCGCGGUAAUACGUAGGGUGCGAGCGUUAAUCGGAAUUACUGGGCGUAAAGCGUGCGCAGGCGGUUAUAUAAGACAGAUGUGAAAUCCCCGGGCUCAACCUGGGACCUGCAUUUGUGACUGUAUAGCUAGAGUACGGUAGAGGGGGAUGGAAUUCCACGUGUAGCAGUGAAAUGCGUAGAUAUGCGGAGGAACACCGAUGGCGAAGGCAAUCCCCUGGACCUGUACUGACGCUCUUGCACGAAAGCGUGGGGAGCAAACA
This 427-nucleotide ribosomal RNA is filed under the name uncultured bacterium. RNAcentral's name for it is "bacterial SSU rRNA". It matches the Rfam family "Bacterial small subunit ribosomal RNA", at positions 355 to 774 of the family's 1533-position model. The record is from RNAcentral.